AUAACAAUGAUCUUAUUAUCUUGUCAAGAAUCAACAUGCUGAGUACUUGCACAAAACUUGUACCAUAAUUUGAUGAUAAAAUACAAGACAAUGGCAUGAAUUAUUACAUGGAUAAAUGAUACAGUAACUAUAGCUGGAAAGCAGAAAUGUUGUUAAAUACAUAAAUCUAAAUUUCCAUCUUCCACCAUUAGCUUUGUGAAUCUGCCCUUAUCUUUGUUUUUUCAGCAAUAUAUUUUUGUCCAAUCAACAAUAAUGAUGUGCUCAGUGUCACCGACUGCUGAUCCAUCUUUUUACUGAAAAUAACAUGAAAAGUGUUCAGUCCUUUGGUUCAGAUUUUAACAUUUUCAGGAACAAUUUAAAAAGUCCUCUCAUUCUCUCUUUUUUUUCCUUUCCGUGGCUAAUUUAAGUACCACCCACCCUAAUCCAUUUAAUCAUCCUAAAUAUAUUUGCAGAAUAUUACAGUAUAUUUAUUUCCAAUUUUUUUGCGGAGCAAAACAACAUCUGAUGAUAUCAGCAUGUCAGUGCUAAGUAGACUAUAACUUUGGAGAAAUUGAGGCUUCCACAAAAAUUACACUUUCAUGCGGCACAGUUGCGCAGUGGAGCUUGCACGUGCACCAUUGGGCCUGUUUCCAUGCUGUAUUUUUCAAUCAAUCAAUAACUUUCUGUUGGUUCAUAUACUUGGAGCCAUGCGUACAAUUACUCUCUUCUGCUAUUUUUACACACUGACCUUGUCUAUAUGCCUGUACCAGAAUGGAGAGGGUAAGAUGGCAGGGAAACAACAGUGGCACCGAGAGCACUUGGAUGAAUAAACACACAUAAGUACAUACGAGUCAGCAACCAUCAAUGAGUAGGCAAAUAAAGGUUUGGGAAGGUGAAAGAGGGAGGAGAGAAUAUUCUUCUUGGAGAUUUAGGGAAAAUCAGCUGACUCCGUGCAUGAAGGACACAUGCUCCCAGGAGUGGACCAGACCAAUUGUGCCGCCCUAACCUAGUAGGAUUAAUGUCCCCAAGCACUCCACGCGAUGAGUUCUAAGGACCAUUGACUCAUGCCCCGUUCCUCCAUGAGGAAGAACUACUGUCGGUAUCUUAAGAGGAACAACAAGACAACAUCAAUGUUAGCAAACAAUUAUUACUGUUAUUCAAAACAUUUUUUAUGCAGUUUAAGCUGUUUUCAAGCUCCUCCUAAACUCAGCCGUGAAAGGAAUAUGUUGAAUUACAACUGCAAAUUACUGCUUUAUUUAU
Molecule: long non-coding RNA, 1239 nt
Organism: Leucoraja erinaceus (little skate)
Lineage: Eukaryota; Metazoa; Chordata; Chondrichthyes; Rajiformes; Rajidae
Exons: 2
Source: RefSeq, a predicted model, not a curated record